CCUACGGGAGGCAGCAGUGGGGGAUAUUGCACAAUGGGCGAAAGCCUGAUGCAGCGACGCCGCGUGAGGGAAGACGGUCUUCGGAUUGUAAACCUCUGUCUUUGGGGAAGAAAAUGACGGUACCCAAAGAGGAAGCUCCGGCUAACUACGUGCAAGCAGCCGCGGUAAUACGUAGGGAGCAAGGGUUGUCCGGAAUUACGGGGUGUAAAGGGAGCGGAGGCGGGGUGGCAGGUAGAAUGUUAAACCCAUCGGUUAACCCGGUGGUUGCGUUCUAAACUGCCGUUCUUGAGUGAAGUAGAGGCAGGCGGAAUUCCUAGUGUAGCGGUGAAAUGCGUAGAUAUUAGGAGGAAUACCAGUGGCGAAGGCGGCCUGCUGGGCUUUAACUGACGCUGAGGCUCGAAAGCGUGGGGAGCAAACAGGAUUAGAUACCCGGGUAGUC
This 439-nucleotide ribosomal RNA is filed under the name uncultured bacterium. RNAcentral describes it as "partial 16S ribosomal RNA". It matches the Rfam family "Bacterial small subunit ribosomal RNA", at positions 338 to 795 of the family's 1533-position model. The record is from RNAcentral.